RNAcentral lists this ribosomal RNA (564 nucleotides) under uncultured bacterium. RNAcentral describes it as "bacterial SSU rRNA". It matches the Rfam family "Bacterial small subunit ribosomal RNA", at positions 28 to 636 of the family's 1533-position model. The record is from RNAcentral.
UACGAACGCUGGCGGCGGGCUUAACACAUGCAAGUCGAGCGGGCGUAGCAAUACGUCAGCGGCAGACGGGUGAGUAACGCGUGGGAACGUACCUUUUGGUUCGGAACAACACAGGGAAACUUGUGCUAAUACCGGAUAAGCCCUUACGGGGAAAGAUUUAUCGCCGAAAGAUCGGCCCGCGUCUGAUUAGCUAGUUGGUGAGGUAACGGCUCACCAAGGCGACGAUCAGUAGCUGGUCUGAGAGGAUGAUCAGCCACAUUGGGACUGAGACACGGCCCAAACUCCUACGGGAGGCAGCAGUGGGGAAUAUUGGACAAUGGGCGCAAGCCUGAUCCAGCCAUGCCGCGUGAGUGAUGAAGGCCCUAGGGUUGUAAAGCUCUUUUGUGCGGGAAGAUAAUAACGGUACCGCAAGAAUAAGCCCCGGCUAACUUCGUGCCAGCAGCCGCGGUAAUACGAAGGGGGCUAGCGUUGCUCGGAAUCACUGGGCGUAAAGGGUGCGUAGGCGGGUUUUUAAGUCAGGGGUGAAAUCCUGGAGCUCAACUCCAGAACUGCCCUUGAUACUGA